Molecule: small RNA, 928 nt
Filed under: Arabidopsis thaliana (thale cress)
Lineage: Eukaryota; Viridiplantae; Streptophyta; Magnoliopsida; Brassicales; Brassicaceae
Description: ATSL172700
Source: RNAcentral
AGACAAGGUCUAUGUAUGAUAGAAUUUAUCUUUAAAAGGUUUAUAAUUACAUUUCUUUUAGGUGUUUUAUGAACUACUAGAUGAGUACCCGCACUAUGUGCGGGUUUACGUAUUACUAUUUACAAAUUGUUUUAUAUAAUGUCUGUUCAUAUAAAGUAAAGUUGAAUGCAUAGGUUUUGAAACAUAAAUAUGAUUUGUAAUUGUUUUUGAAAAGCCCAACUAUAUUAGUUCAUCUGAAAAACGAAUGUGCUUGAGUUGUUUUUUAUUGUUGUUUUAGAUUCUCAGUUUUUUUUGAAUUUAUAUAUCCUUGCUUUUUUAGUUAUAUGUAUAGAUUGUGAGACGGUGAAAUUUUAGAAAAUUUAUUUCUUACACUAAAAAUAUAACAUGUUCUUAUUAAUCAUGUCUCUGCAUAUUCAAUCUAAGCAUAUUCAACUUGAUGUUUUUGGAAAUUUUAGUUAAGUUUUUGUCAUAAUCUUAUAUCUUACGUAUUAGUUAUAAGGAUAACUCCUCAAAUAUCUUUCAAAUUACUUGUUUUCUUAGCAUAAAUCUCGAAAAACUUAGAUAUAUUUAAUCUGCAUAUUCAUUUAGUUUCUUUCAUAAUAAUCGUCUAAUUUUUAGGCCAGGAAUAUGUGUAACAUGUUUGGAUUUUAUCAUCACUUUAGCCACUUAAGUAGAUCUCAAAAUUAAAGAGGAUAUAUUGAAUUAAAAAAUGUAGAAAGAGUGAUGGUUCAAGUUCUCAUUAAUUAUAUUCUCCUAUUUAAAUUGUUAUGUUGAAUUAAUUACUAAUUAUGUAUUAUUUAUUUUAUGAAGUCUACGUGGCAAGCUCUCAUAUGCUGAUGUGUCAAGUUGUGGGAGAGAGUUAGUCUUCUUUCAUAUAUAUGAUUCAUUGAAACUCAAACCAAAAUGUAAUGUAGAUUUUCACAAGAAA